GCCCCUGUAGUGUAGUCCGGUCAACACUUCAGAAUAUCUGGAGUAUACGGAAUAGCAUUCAAGACUGUCACUCUUGAGACCCGGGUUCAAGUCCCGGCGGGGGCGCCA
This 108-nucleotide transfer RNA is filed under the name Candidatus Thorarchaeota archaeon. RNAcentral describes it as "tRNA-OTHER". It matches the Rfam family "tRNA". From Rfam's summary of the family: Transfer RNA (tRNA) molecules are approximately 80 nucleotides in length. The record is from RNAcentral. Lineage: Archaea; Promethearchaeati; Candidatus Thorarchaeota.